Molecule: ribosomal RNA, 860 nt
Filed under: uncultured Neocallimastigales
Lineage: Eukaryota; Fungi; Neocallimastigomycota; Neocallimastigomycetes; Neocallimastigales
Description: partial large subunit ribosomal RNA
Rfam family: Eukaryotic large subunit ribosomal RNA
Source: RNAcentral
CGCAUCUGUGCAUGCAGCAUAUCAAUAAGCGGAGGAAAAGUCAACUACCUACGCUUAGGAUGUUGACGAGACUGUCGAUCUCAUCUAUACAUGACUCUGUGCAUAUCAAUAAGCGGAGGAAAAGAAACUAACAAGGAUUCCCUAGUAACUGGACGAGUGAAGCGGGAAGAGCUCAAAUUUGAAAUCUUAAAGGGUUUCCCUUUACGAAUUGUAGUUUAAAGAAGUGUUUUCUGUUGAGGUUUUGGUAAAAGUUCUUUGGAAUAGGACAUCAUAGAGGGUGAGAAUCCCGUAUUUGACCUUUACUUUCAACUUUGUGAUACACUUUCAAAGAGUCGGAUUGUUUGGGAAUGCAGUCCAAAAUGGGUGGUAAAUUUCAUCUAAAGCUAAAUAUUGGCGAGAGACCGAUAGCGAAGCAAGUACCGUGAGGGAAAGAUGAAAAGAACUUUGAAAAGAGAGUUAAACAGUACGUGAAAUUGUCAAAAGGGAAGCGUUUGACACCAGUGUUGUUUUUCUGAAAAUCAAUUAAAGAACUGUUUAUGCUAAGCUGUUUAGACUUUAUCAGCUAACUGUUUAGUUUUGAGCUUUUCUUUAAUGCACUUUUCAGUUAACAAGUCAACAUCAAUUUCUUUUGCUGUAAAAAAGCUUGAGGAAGGUGGCUUGAGAUUCGUCUUAAGUGUUUAUAGCCUCUUGCCUAUGCAGUCGGAGAGAUUGAGGUCUGCAGCGUAGAUCCUUCGGGGCUAAAUGCAUUUGUGCUAAGUUAUAGCAUUUUAUAGACAACUUGUUGACUAUGAUUUGUCUUGUAGCUUACUCGCUUAUGUUAUUUUACCUACGCUUAGGAUGUUGACGAGACUGUCGAUCUC